Molecule: long non-coding RNA, 871 nt
Filed under: Olea europaea subsp. europaea
Lineage: Eukaryota; Viridiplantae; Streptophyta; Magnoliopsida; Lamiales; Oleaceae
Source: RNAcentral
CAAUAAUCAAGGCAAUAGUAAAUUCCAAAACAUACAUCAAUAAUGUCUUGUAGAAAUAGACAAGUGUAGUUGUUUAGUAGAAAAAUAUAAUUAUGUUAUAUACUAAUAGCAAUACAUACUUGAAAAGGAAAUACAAAAUUAAAUUAGAAUUAUCUCAUUCUAGAUCUUCAAAAGAAAGUUUCUUAAAUUCUUGCAACUUGUCCGGAGUAGACUUCCAUCAAACCAACGAUGUAUUUAAAUCUGGAAAUUAACAAAGUGAAACACUUGUUAAAUUGUAAAAAUAAUGUAAACUCAAAAAAAGUCAAAACUCUAAUUAGUGACGGAAAUUGAUAUGGGCAAAAAUCAAUGCUACCAUAAUGUUGGAUUAGAAUACAAGUGCCAGUGCCACUCCCAAGACCAAUAAACACCAAAGUUAUCGUACCAAAUCACAAAAGCCAAAUGGGAAAUCGACAUACCUUGAAACAAGACGGGACCAGAACCAAAUUGACAACAUAAGGAGCAUGAAACCAACAUAUUACGAUUAUCUAGUUGCAACCUGGGAAGAGUGAUGGAAGAAACCAAACCAUACUUGUCAUUGGAAACUAUGCUGACAAGAAGUAAAAGCUCUUGAAUAUCCUUAAAGAUGAAAAACUCAAUUAUGUGUACUUCAAUAGUGCUUAAUAUUCUAUCAAAUAAGCUUAAUUACCAGUUCAAUCAUUUUAAUUUGUCCAUCAAAUGUACCAGUCACUGUGAUCAACCUAUCAUACCCUAUAAAACAGCAUUUGCAUAACUUAGUAUGACAAAACAACUCAAGCGAGCGACAGAAAUACUAUUACUAAUCUUAGAUAACAACUUAUGAUGUUGCUAGUGGUGGAGCUUCAAACACUUGCCC